AUGCAGGAGAAGAAAGCUCUGAAGGAAGAAAAAUUGAAGCAAGAGGAGAAAUACACAUGGGCUAUUGUCGACGGUGUUAAAGAGAAGGACAAUGAAUUCUUACAUGAUGUCUUUGGUUUCACACCCAAGAAAAAGCUUAACAACGGUGAGCACAGAAUGUCUGGUGGUGAAAAGAGGAUGUUCAAGUCACCAAAUUCUGUUUUGAACAAGGCUAGGACCCAAUUACUUAACAAGCAGCGGGUAUUAUCGGAGGGAAGGAACUUCGGGCAUUAUUCAGUCAGUAUGGGAGAUGAUGAGACAUGA
Non-coding RNA from Vicia faba (fava bean), 303 nucleotides. The record is from the annotation of a GenBank genome assembly. NCBI's taxonomy places the organism in Eukaryota, Viridiplantae, Streptophyta, Magnoliopsida, Fabales, Fabaceae.